CGCCUCUUGCAUUCCAAAUAUAAGAGGUCCUGCCUGCCCAGUGACAUUAGUUAAACGGCCGCGGUAUUAUAACCGUGCGAAGGUAGCGUAAUCACUUGUCUUUUAAAUAAAGACCUGUAUGAAUGGCAAAACGAGAAUUYAACUGUCUCUUAGUUYUAAUCAAUGAAACUAGCCUUCCCGUGCAGAGACGGGAAUAUAAAUAUAAGACGAGAAGACCCUAUGGAGCUUUAAACAUAAACUACCUAUUUUUAUUAAACUAAUCAAAAGAUUAAAYAURWAAUUAUUAGYAUUAGMYUAAGUUUUUGGUUGGGGCGACCACGGAAUAUAAARCAACUUCCGAGAUGAAYUACAUUAGAACCACAAUUCAGUGAAUAAAAAAUUUAACAUAAUUGACCCAAUUUUUGAUCAACGAACCAAGUUACCCUAGGGAUAACAGCGCAAUCCUUUCUAAGAGUYCCUAUCGACGAAUGGGUUUACGACCUCGAUGUUGGAUCAGGACACCCAAAUGGUGCAGCAGCUAUUAAAGGUUCGUU
Molecule: ribosomal RNA, 533 nt
Filed under: Siren lacertina (greater siren)
Lineage: Eukaryota; Metazoa; Chordata; Amphibia; Caudata; Sirenidae
Description: partial 16S ribosomal RNA
Rfam family: Bacterial large subunit ribosomal RNA
Source: RNAcentral